Oryctolagus cuniculus (rabbit) is the source of this 127-nucleotide small nuclear RNA. The record is from Ensembl. NCBI's taxonomy places the organism in Eukaryota, Metazoa, Chordata, Mammalia, Lagomorpha, Leporidae.
UUGAAGGGCUUCUGCCACACACUCUGGGCAACUGGAUUGUUCUUCAUGUGGGAUCAAAUUCUAGAGAUUUCAGAAGCAUCAUUUUUUGAUAAUUUGGCAGAUGGUAAUCAUUAGUCCCAAUGUCUAC